GACGAACGCUGGCGGCGUGCUUAACACAUGCAAGUCGAACGGAAAGGCCCCAGCUUGCUGGGGGUACUCGAGUGGCGAACGGGUGAGUAACACGUGGGUGAUCUGCCCUGCACUUCGGGAUAAGCCUGGGAAACUGGGUCUAAUACCGGAUAGGAGCCAUCUUUGGUGUGAUGGUUGGAAAGUUUUUCGGUGUAGGAUGAGCCUGCGGCCUAUCAGCUUGUUGGUGGGGUAAUGGCCUACCAAGGCGACGAUCAGUAGCCGGACUGAGAGGUUGAACGGCCACAUUGGGACUGAGAUACGGCCCAG
This 306-nucleotide ribosomal RNA is filed under the name uncultured bacterium. Its description in RNAcentral is "bacterial SSU rRNA". It matches the Rfam family "Bacterial small subunit ribosomal RNA", at positions 28 to 334 of the family's 1533-position model. The record is from RNAcentral.